CAUUCUCUGGGGGGGGGCCUGUAUAAGCCCCAAGAUGUAAAGCAUGAAGAACACUUAAUCCCCUGUCCAUUCUAACAGCUCUAGUCCCCAUGCCUCACACCAAAUGAAGGAAACCAGAGCAGGGAGCAAAAACAUGGUAGAACUCCUCUGGAAAGGCUGACCCUCCGACCAUAGACCAAGCCCCACAAUCCCUAUGAACCACUGAGAAUUUAGUUUGUUGCCAACCACUACUCUGAGCUUCACAACUCUGGGAGGUCUGCAUGGAACACACCCUGGCUAGAAGUCAGAAUGGCAUUUAAUAACUGACUCAAUGACAACAUGCAAUCCUUUUUAAUUUCUAAAAUUUUUAUUUAUUUGGUUGCCCCUUGGCAUGUGGACCUCUUGCACCAGGGAUCAGAUCUGAGCUGCGUUUGUAACCCAAGGCACAGCUGCAAUGCCAGACUCUUAACCCACUGUGCCUACUUCCCAAGUUGCCGCAAAUGCCUUUGCACCACAGCAGAACUCCUGCAAUCCAUUUUUAAUAUUUCUGAUCAUGGUGAGGAACAAGUCUCACUUUGAUGGCAAUGCAUCUUUCCCUGCAGUGUUUUUUUUCUUUUUAGGGCCGCACUGUGGCCUCCUGGGAACCUCCAUAUGCCACAGGAGUGGCCCUAGAAAAAGACAAAAAAAAAAAAAAAAUUAUGGAGUUCCCUUGUGGCACAGCUGGUUAAAGUCCUGGUGUUGUCACUGCAGCAGCUCAGGUAGCUGCUGUGGCAUGGGUUUAAUCCAUGGCCUGGGAACUUCCACAUGCCACAGUCUUUGCCAAAAAAAUCUUUAGGGGAGGAGUUCCCAUUGUAGUGCAGUGGAAAUGAAUCUGACUAGGAACCAUGAGGUUUCAGGUUUGAUCCCUGGCCUUGCUCAGUGGGUUAAGGAUCUGGCAUUGCUGUGAGCUGUGGCGUAGGUUGCAGAUGAGGCUUGCAUCUGGCAUGGCUGUGACUGUGGUAUAGCUGUAGUUCCGAUCAGACCCCUAGCCUGGGAACCUCCAUGUGCUGCAAGUGUGGCCCUAAAGGAAAAAAAAAA
Molecule: long non-coding RNA, 1056 nt
Filed under: Sus scrofa (pig)
Lineage: Eukaryota; Metazoa; Chordata; Mammalia; Artiodactyla; Suidae
Description: lncRNA (ENSSSCG00005042815.1)
Source: RNAcentral